RNAcentral lists this unclassified non-coding RNA (172 nucleotides) under uncultured Ascomycota. RNAcentral's name for it is "sequence contains ITS1". Lineage: Eukaryota; Fungi; Ascomycota. The record is from RNAcentral.
CCGAGAUUUUUUCCUGCUUGCAGGAAAUCUCCCACCCUUUGUGUACCACAUUUUAUACUUUGGUGAAGCGUUCUUCUCGAAGACCAUCGGCUAUCUAGCGGGUGUGUCUUCACCAAAGGACCCCUUAACUCUUAUUUUAUAAAAUUGUCUGAGUUUAUAUUUUAAAUAAACA